RNAcentral lists this long non-coding RNA (210 nucleotides) under Capsicum annuum. RNAcentral describes it as "long non-coding RNA (CANN_LNC007020)". Lineage: Eukaryota; Viridiplantae; Streptophyta; Magnoliopsida; Solanales; Solanaceae. The record is from RNAcentral.
UUGAUUGUCCUGAAGCUAAUUUUUUCAAUAGUAGUAAUAUAAGAGGUAGAAGUAAGGGAUGUAAAUAGAUGAUUUGAUUUUUAAAAGUAAGAAGUUACUUGUUCAUCUUGAAAAAUCAUGUUCAAAUAAUUUAUCUUUCGUUUUAUACCUUCUCCUAGUCUACUCAUGUCUACAACUUGGACCUUGCAUAUCCAGUGAGGUGUUUCAGGG